UCCUACAACGUUGUACCAACAUUGUAAAAAGGUUGAGGAUUCUACGUUGUUGCUAAAGGUUGUCACAACGAUGUCAUAAGGUUGCCAUUUAAACAUCAUGAGGGUCGCAUGCUUUAGGUUGUGCUUAGGUGGCGUGGACGACCACUGUACAACAUUUACUGGUCACAGCUGAAUCAGUUUAAAUUUCAACAAGCCGUCGUCUCAUUCAUCAACGACCGAGGAGACGCUAUUUUUACAUGGAGGUAAUCUUCUAUUGAUAAUUUCUGGAUUUUAAUUAUGCAAUGUUUUCAGCUGUUGAAUUCACCUCAUAUCAGUGUA
Non-coding RNA from Danio rerio (zebrafish), 318 nucleotides. The record is from RefSeq and is a predicted model, not a curated record. NCBI's taxonomy places the organism in Eukaryota, Metazoa, Chordata, Actinopteri, Cypriniformes, Danionidae.